GAAAUGCCUCCAUGAGAUCCAACUGUAAGGCAUUUUCCCAAUUAGUGAUCAAGGGGAAAGGCCCCUUGUGGGUGGGACCAUCUCUGGGCUGGUAGUCUUG
RNAcentral lists this microRNA precursor (100 nucleotides) under Mus musculus (house mouse). RNAcentral's name for it is "predicted gene, 55226 (ENSMUSG00002075599.1)". Lineage: Eukaryota; Metazoa; Chordata; Mammalia; Rodentia; Muridae. The record is from RNAcentral.